GGAGAGAUGGCGUAGUGGUUAAGAGCACUGGAUCCUCUUCCAGAAGACCUGGGUUCAAUUCCCAGCACCA
Molecule: non-coding RNA, 70 nt
Organism: Mesocricetus auratus (golden hamster)
Lineage: Eukaryota; Metazoa; Chordata; Mammalia; Rodentia; Cricetidae
Source: Rfam